AUAUCUCUCUGUACGGGAAGGAUGAGAAGCUUCUACCAGGGUUCGAUUCGAGCGCAGCGAGAAAGCGUUGCCGCAGGCAAC
Molecule: small RNA, 81 nt
Filed under: Salmonella enterica subsp. enterica serovar Heidelberg
Lineage: Bacteria; Pseudomonadati; Pseudomonadota; Gammaproteobacteria; Enterobacterales; Enterobacteriaceae
Also listed under: 4 other names
Description: partial RtT sRNA
Rfam family: RtT RNA
About the family: This family represents a bacterial cis-regulatory element known as RtT RNA. The exact function of RtT is unknown although it is thought that it may be involved in changing the cellular response in relation to amino acid starvation.
Source: RNAcentral